This 116-nucleotide ribosomal RNA is filed under the name Oryzias javanicus (javanese ricefish). Lineage: Eukaryota; Metazoa; Chordata; Actinopteri; Beloniformes; Adrianichthyidae. The record is from RNAcentral.
GCUUACGGCACACCACCCUGAACACGCCGAUCUCGUCCGAUCUCGGAAGCGAAGCAGGGCCGGGCCUGGUUAGUACUUGGAUGGGAGACGCGUGGGAAUACCAGGUGCUGUAAGUU